UACGUAGGGUGCGAGCGUUGUCCGGAAUUAUUGGGCGUAAAGAGCUUGUAGGCGGUCUGUCGCGUCUGCUGUGAAAAUCCGGGGCUUAACCCCGGACCUGCAGUGGGUACGGGCAGACUAGAGUGUGGUAGGGGAGACUGGAAUUCCUGGUGUAGCGGUGAAAUGCGCAGAUAUCAGGAGGAACACCGAUGGCGAAGGCAGGUCUCUGGGCCACUACUGACGCUGAGAAGCGAAAGCAUGGGGAGCGAACAGG
Molecule: ribosomal RNA, 253 nt
Filed under: uncultured bacterium
Lineage: Bacteria
Description: partial 16S ribosomal RNA
Rfam family: Bacterial small subunit ribosomal RNA
Source: RNAcentral